GGAGCAGUCCGCCGCCUCCCUCCGAGCGCAGGACGCUCCGACGCCCGCUUGCCCGCAGGCCACCGCAGCCUAAGGUGUGGGGAAGGCUCCCUCUCUGGAGGAGCAGGUCGGAAGACCUCGGUGCAAAAGCAGGGACCCCCUGGCUGACCCUGUUCUCCCUCUGCAAAAUAAAGGAACCCCACCGGUGCAGAACCGUGCCACUGCACCCAUAAGACAGCCCGAGGCUCCUGGCAGACCCUACUGGGAAUUACACAGCAAGAUGGCUUUCCCUACUCCAUCGUGGCUAGAGCCUCUGCAAGGGCUGAAGCCCUUUGAUCUUGGCUUCAUUUGGAUACAUUUCAAGGGUGAGCACUGACAAAGAGGACAAGCCAGACUGAAGUCAUAUGGCCUUACAGCUCUGCCUUCAAAGGCAUGUGGGCUCCCCUCCACCACAUUGCUGACCCCUCAUUACAGGAAGUGGGAGUGUAAACUCUACCUCUUCCUUAUGUCCUGUCGGAGGUGGAGCACAGAGCUCUGACUCCAUGCAUAACACACACUCUACCACUGAGAUACAUCCCAAGGCAAUUGACAUUGGAUUGUUGGUGUCUCAUUGUGUGAUGUUGACUUAGGACAUUAUAGGAUCUAUGCAAGCAUC
Molecule: long non-coding RNA, 634 nt
Filed under: Mus musculus (house mouse)
Lineage: Eukaryota; Metazoa; Chordata; Mammalia; Rodentia; Muridae
Description: RIKEN cDNA 9030622O22 gene
Source: RNAcentral